AGCAUGUCCCGGAGCCGCUCAGGCCAUCGCAGGAGGCGCUCGAUCUCGACGACCUCGUCAACGAGUGGUCGCCCCGAACACCUUCUCGAGCUCGUACGGAGUCGUGACCUCGAGCUGAUCGUACCGGCAGUCGUGCGGCGCCCGGUCGGGCCGCCAGCGCAGGAACGUGGCCGCGUGCCGGAAGCGAUCACCCUGCAUGUGGUCGUACUUCACCUCGCACACCCGUUCGACCCGCAAUGGUUCCCAGGAGAGAUCCUUGCCCGCGCUCCAGCGGCUCUGGCCGCCAGGCAUGCGGGUCAUGUCGCUGCCCGCUUCCGCCCACUCGCGCCACGGAUGGUCGCGCAUGGCGUCGGCCCGGAAUGGCGCGAGCUCUCCGGCGAGUGCCUUGCGGUGUGCCAUGGUGAACGAUGACGUGACGCCGACGUGGUGCAGCCGGCCCUGGUCGUCGUAGAGGCCGAGCAGCAGGGAUCCGAUCAGCUCGCCGUGCCCGGCCUUGUGCCAGCGGAAGCCGGCGACGACACUGUCUGCGGUGCGUGCAUGCUUCACCUUGAUCAUCGAGCGCCGGCCCGGCUCGUAUGUGCCGGCGAGCGGCUUGACCAUGACGCCAUCCAGUCCGGCCCCUUCGAACCGCUGCAGCCAGUCAGCGGCAAUGUCGCGGCGGCGUGUCGUCGGCGUCAGGUGCAGUGGGGGCGCGGCGCCGGAGAGCAGCUGUUCCAGCAGAUGCCGUCGCUCUUCGUAGGCCAGCGACCGCACGUCGCGACCGUCAACCGCGAGCAGAUCGAACGCCACGAACGAGGACGGUGUCGCCUGCGCCAGCUUGGCCACACGCGACGCCACCGGGUGCAGGCGCAGCUGCAGCGCAUCGAAGUCGAGUCCGUGCGCGGUGGCAAUCACGAUUUCCCAGUCGAUCACGCAACCGGCGGGAAGGGCCGAUCGCAACGUCUCACUGAGCUCCGGGAAGUACCGAUCAAGGGGACGCAAAUCCCGGCUCUGCAUCAGGAUGGCGGUCGCGCUCCGGAAUACGAUGGCGCGGAACCCAUCCCACUUGGGUUCGAACGACAACCGCUCGCCGCCGGGCAGCCCGUCGGCAAGCUUCGCCAGCAUCGGCUCGAUCGGCGGGGCAAUCG
RNAcentral lists this unclassified non-coding RNA (1127 nucleotides) under uncultured fungus. RNAcentral describes it as "sequence contains 18S rRNA gene, ITS1, 5.8S rRNA gene, ITS2, 28S rRNA gene". Lineage: Eukaryota; Fungi. The record is from RNAcentral.